GGCUCGGUGGCCUAAUGGCUAGCGUGUUGGACUCCGGACCGAGCGGUCCGGGAUGGAGUCCUGUCCGGGUCA
Desmophyllum pertusum is the source of this 72-nucleotide non-coding RNA. The record is from the annotation of a GenBank genome assembly. NCBI's taxonomy places the organism in Eukaryota, Metazoa, Cnidaria, Anthozoa, Scleractinia, Caryophylliidae.